AAUAUAGGGGAUUUUGAGUUUUUGCUUACAGCGUUUGACCACUCGUCUUAUUCGAAUAUUUUUGAAAUUAUUAUUUAUUUUAUUUGUGGCUUAUUUUAUUAUGAGUACUUUAAGCACAACUUUUCAUUUUUUAUAUUUAUAAAAAAAAUUUGAAUAAGACGAGUGGUUAAACGUCGUAAGAAAAACUCAAAAUCCCUUAUA
This is a non-coding RNA of Oryza barthii, 201 nucleotides long. The record is from Rfam. Lineage: Eukaryota; Viridiplantae; Streptophyta; Magnoliopsida; Poales; Poaceae.